AACGGGAAGAUGAGGAGUGGUAUUUUCUCACUUGUGAGAUGAGUGUCUGCCCCAUGCCUGGUUACGACAAAUGGGCACUCACAUUCUAAUCCUAUCUGAUUCCUUGCCUAUGGAUCCUUUUCAUUUUUCCAUACAACAAUAUACAAAGCGCUCUUUUUACAUGAGGAGAAGUCUCAAAUCCUCGCCGUAACCCUAGAAAUGGACAUAUGUGAUACACGCUCUAACCUCUCUCUAGGGUUUAAUGUCCAUUCCAUUUCUGACAAACAUGAAGCAUCUGGACCUGUUCGAACCCCAAUUGCUGAUGAUUCAAUUUACUUUCAACUCGAUUCGAGCUUUUCCAAUGAUCAGUCAUCGAAUUCUGCUUCCUCGAUACCAUUGCAGCUGCUUGAGCAAUCUGAUUACAGCAAUUUCGGCAAUUGUGUAGAAGACACAGAAGUGGGGGAACAGAGAGAAGAAGAAUUCAGCAUAUUGGGUUACCCCAUGUGCUUGAAGAGAAGAAGAGAGAGGGACGGCUCUGUGGUUUCUGCUCAGAAAGGCAGCAACAUGAAUCAUGUUCAUCAUCGCCUAUGGAUUUAGAAGCCAGGAGAAUGGCAGUUAGGGUUUGGGGAAAGCAACCUUUAGCAAAUUUUGCAAUGUAUACAGGCCUUAUUUUGCCUAAAGAUCGAAUCAUGGGCCUUGAUUCUCCA
This is a long non-coding RNA of Amborella trichopoda, 686 nucleotides long. RefSeq lists it as uncharacterized. The record is from RefSeq and is a predicted model, not a curated record. NCBI's taxonomy places the organism in Eukaryota, Viridiplantae, Streptophyta, Magnoliopsida, Amborellales, Amborellaceae.